CAAGGUUGGCGAAUCAGUCUCCAAAACUGAUUGAGGUGGGUUCGAUUCCAUACCGUCCUUGCCA
This 64-nucleotide transfer RNA is filed under the name Caudoviricetes sp. RNAcentral describes it as "tRNA-Ser". The record is from RNAcentral. Lineage: Duplodnaviria; Heunggongvirae; Uroviricota; Caudoviricetes.